UACGAAGGGGGCUAGCGUUGUUCGGAAUCACUGGGCGUAAAGCGCACGUAGGCGGAUCGUUAAGUCGGGGGUGAAAUCCCGAGGCUCAACCUCGGAACUGCCUUCGAUACUGGCGAUCUUCGAGUCCGGGAGAGGUGAGUGGAACUCCGAGUGUAGAGGUGAAAUUCGUAGAUAUUCGGAAGAACACCAGUGGCGAAGGCGGCUCACUGGCCCGGUACUGACGCUGAGGAGCGAAAGCGUGGGGAGCAAACAGG
This 254-nucleotide ribosomal RNA is filed under the name uncultured bacterium. RNAcentral describes it as "partial 16S ribosomal RNA". It matches the Rfam family "Bacterial small subunit ribosomal RNA", at positions 524 to 776 of the family's 1533-position model. The record is from RNAcentral.